AAUGAACGUUGGCGGCGUGGAUUAGGCAUGCAAGUCGAGCGGCAGCAGGCCCGCAAGGGCGCUGGCGAGCGGCGAAAGGGAGAGUAACACGCGGGUGCCUGCCCUCGGGACCGGGAUAGCUGCGGGAAACUGCAAUUAAUACCGGAUAAUGUCCCCGGACCAAAUGGUGUGAUUCCGCCUGAGGAGGGGCCCACGUCCUAUCAGCUAGUUGGUGAGGUAACGGCUCAUCAAGGCUACGACGGGUACGGGGUGUGAGAGCAUGCCCCCGCUUACUGGGACUGAGACACUGCCCAGACACCUACGGGUGGCUGCAGUCGAGAAUCUUCCGCAAUGGGCGAAAGCCUGACGGAGCGACGCCGCGUGCGGGAUGAAGGCCUUCGGGUUGUAAACCGCUGUCAGAGGGGAACAAGUUCAUGGGGGUUCUCCCCUGUGUUUGAGUGAUCCUCAGAGGAAGCGCAGGCUAAGUCCGUGCCAGCAGCCGCGGUAA
RNAcentral lists this ribosomal RNA (487 nucleotides) under uncultured bacterium. RNAcentral describes it as "partial 16S ribosomal RNA". It matches the Rfam family "Bacterial small subunit ribosomal RNA", at positions 28 to 523 of the family's 1533-position model. The record is from RNAcentral.